Molecule: ribosomal RNA, 253 nt
Filed under: uncultured bacterium
Lineage: Bacteria
Description: partial 16S ribosomal RNA
Rfam family: Bacterial small subunit ribosomal RNA
Source: RNAcentral
UACGGGGGGGGUAAGCGUUGUUCGGAAUUACUGGGCGUAAAGGGCUCGUAGGCGGCCAACUAAGUCAGACGUGAAAUCCCUCAGCUUAACUGGGGAACUGCGUCUGAUACUGGAUGGCUUGGAUUCGGGAGAGGAAUGCGGAAUUCCAGGUGUAGCGGUGAAAUGCGUAGAUAUCUGGAGGAACACCGGUGGCGAAGGCGGCUUUCUGGACCGAUAUUGACGCUGAGGAGCGAAAGCCAGGGGAGCAAACGGG